RNAcentral lists this long non-coding RNA (657 nucleotides) under Fukomys damarensis (Damara mole-rat). Its description in RNAcentral is "lncRNA (ENSFDAG00000031310.1)". Lineage: Eukaryota; Metazoa; Chordata; Mammalia; Rodentia; Bathyergidae. The record is from RNAcentral.
GAGUCUGUUUCUGCCCUUUCAUUUCAGACGUCUGUGGGCAGAGUCGUUGAUGCUUAUAAAGAACCCACAGCUUGCUGGCUGCUACAGGAGACCGGUCAGCUUUUCUCAUCACUGAACACUUGGCUGUAUGUCCGCAGUGGACAACCAUUCCUCUGAAAUAUCGCGAGAUGUAAACUCAAGGUUAAAGGCACUUUACAAAAUAUUAGGCUUCAAAUGCAAAUACGUGCUGCGAGAAGUCUUCAUUAUUAACCAGAACCCUGAUAUGAAAUCUGCACUAUUCCUCUAACUUGGACAAGAGUGUACUACUCAGUACCCACAAUGCUGUACUGUGGUCAGCUCAUUCUGCCCGCUCACCAAGGCCUUUCCUAAGAACGACGAUCAGAGGAAUAACACUCGGUGAUCCAGGAAAAGAUAAAUUACAGUUAUAAGUCUCUGCUGAACAAGUGUAAUGUUCCAGUCUGUUCUACAGAAAUUCAAUACAAGGCGGCCAGCAGUGUGCAGAUUGUCUUCCCUCCCUCGUUUUUGCCAUGAAUUCAUCCUUUCACCAUUAACACUGUCAUCCCUUCGUGCUUAUCCAACCCAAACUGAAUAUGGCCGGAAAGAAACAAGGGAGGUAAGGAGCUCACAGAACUCUGAAUACAGUGCCUAAGGUCUCAG